RNAcentral lists this ribosomal RNA (532 nucleotides) under Ambrosiella sp. YTL-2016. Its description in RNAcentral is "eukaryotic LSU rRNA". It matches the Rfam family "Eukaryotic large subunit ribosomal RNA", at positions 1 to 541 of the family's 3401-position model. Lineage: Eukaryota; Fungi; Ascomycota; Sordariomycetes; Microascales; Ceratocystidaceae. The record is from RNAcentral.
UGACCUCGGAUCAGGUAGGAAUACCCGCUGAACUUAAGCAUAUCAAUAAGCGGAGGAAAAGAAACCAACAGGGAUUGCCCUAGUAACGGCGAGUGAAGCGGCAACAGCUCAAAUUUGAAAUCUGGCUACUUUGUAGUCCGAGUUGUAAUUUGUAGAGGAUGCUUUUGGUGAGGUGCUUUCUGAGUUCCCUGGAACGGGACGCCAGAGAGGGUGAGAGCCCCGUACAGUUAGCAACCGAUCCUUUGUAUAGCUCCUUCGACGAGUCGAGUAGUUUGGGAAUGCUGCUCUAAAUGGGAGGUAUAUCUCUUCUAAAGCUAAAUAUAGGCUAGAGACCGAUAGCGCACAAGUAGAGUGAUCGAAAGAUGAAAAGCACUUUGAAAAGAGAGUUAAACAGCACGUGAAAUUGUUGAAAGGGAAGCGCCUAUGACCAGACUUGUUUCUAUCAGUUUUGGUAGUUUUCGGACUGCUUUACUCUGUUAGUACAGGCCAACAUCAGUUUGUUGUCGGGGAGAAAGGCUUAGGGAAUGUGGCU